CUCCCCAAACUUCCGACAUAACCCGCGCUCCUCGUCUUCUCCACUCGUCUGCCCUCGCUCCUGGCACAGCCGCUCAGCUCUGCCUGAGCUCCCCUGUUUAGCUCCGGCGCGCAACUACCCUGCUCUCCCGCGCAUCCUCCGCCACCGCCGUAGCUGCCUCCUCCCCCGCUCCCUGCCGCCUCAUGAAGCUCCCCUCCCACCCACUCGCCUGUCUCCCGCAGCCCCCUUUCACCCUAAAAAUCCAUUUUUCUUCCUCUAUGGGCUUCUACGGUGUACUCCGGCUCCGGCGAGGCUCCCAUCCAGCACGCAGCUCGCUCGCGCGCCGGGAUGCUGACGCCAUGGAGGACGCCGCUCCACCCCUACUCUGCUCCGUGCCCCCGACGCCAUGGAGGACGCCGCUCCACCUCCGCUCCAGCCUGAAGGCACUCCACCCCUGCUCCAGCCUGGAGGUGCUCCAUCUCUGAAUGUUGAAUGCUCCUGCUGCAUCAAGCUGCUACUCCAUGGAGUAUUUCAGAAUUUAAAACCGAGUUUUUUAUUUCUAUUUUGUACUAUGGUCUCUCUGUUUUGUCAAUCUGCUGUAAUCAUUUAUGUUGUGGAGUUCGUAAGUUUUAAACAAAAUGAUUACUAGUGCAUCCAGGAAUCGUUUAAGUUAUGAACCAUUGCAAAUUCUGAAUUUUGUUGUAGGUACUGCUGCUAUAUGAAGUAGUGCUGCUGACUAUAAUUAACUGAAUUUUACAAUAAUCAUCAGUGUAACAAAGAUUAAUUUCUACAGUACAAGAUUCAGUGUAAAUCUUCAAAAUGAAUUGAUGUUAGUAUGUUCAGUGGUUAGAACAGAAGAUCAGAUUUCUUAGGUUCUACAGUACACAAGUUGAUAACAAAGAUGAGAUUUCUUAGGUUGCACUACUCCCAUUUUUGCUCUGCUCCCAUUUUGAUUGCUCUGCUCCCAUUUUUGCUCACAAUUAUUCAGAAAAGGACUACUCCUAGUAACAAAAUAGAUCAUUUACUGAAAAUAGCUCUACAUUUCUUCUUCUAAUGGUUGUUCCUGCAGCAAUAGCUCUACAUUUACUGAAAAUCAACUUGAUGUACUGAAAAUAAAGUUGGGCAUUGUUUACUAAAAAUAAACUUGAUGCCCCUCCACUUGUCAAGGUGAAGACUACAGAAACUCAUGGAGAAAAGAAGACAAGGUUGAUGCCCCUCCACUUAGCACUUAGUUUGCAUAAUGACACAAAUAUUUACAAAUUUGCAUCUACUAACUGUCACUGUAUUUGGAUAGGUUCAUAACUGAAUUUUCUGUACAGUAGUGCAUCUAGGGAUCAUUUAAGCUCUCCUGCUAUAUGAACUGGUGAGCGAGCCAUCCAUAGAAGUUGUUCCCUGUGUUCCAAAUAGGUGAUCGAGCCAUCCAUCGAAUCAUUUAUGAUCAUACAGAAGUUGUUCCCUGUGUUCCAAUAGUGGACUUCACAUUCCAAAGGAGGGACAGAAGAGCAGUCUACCUGACAAGGACAUGGCAUAGGUUGCAGACAAAUACUGUGAGAUAUCUCAGUUUAACUACAUAUUGCUUCAAGCGAAUGUGGAUGUUGCACACUAUUGUGAAGGUGCAGCCCUGCUCAAUUCAAUUUCCACUGCACAUAUCUACUUCAAUUUCUACUACAAAUUCACCUUUUCAACAGCAGACGCGGGGCAGAGAAGUCAGACGGCAAGGAUGAGCAGCAGCAUCAGACAGCGAGGAGGAGCAGAAGCAUCAGACGAAGAGGACUCGAUCGGGGGCGUUGGCGUCGCCCAAUAGCAGCAGCAUCAGAGGCUGGAGGGAAUCGCGGCGGCCGCAGAAUGAAGCGGCGGCCGACGACUUGUCCAAAUCCGGCACCGGAGGCCGCGGGCGCGAGGAAGCGGGCAGAGGAUGAGGGCGCGGGCCGCACCGGCUAGGGACGCGAGCAGGGAGGUGACGUCGGCCGUGGAGGAGGCGGGCGUCUAGUUGGUCCCGCGGAGGAGCAGUCGCCUCCGUGUGGGCGGCAGCACAGCUCGCCUUUGUGCGGGCGGUGCAGGUGGGCAGGGGCGCCAUGGAUUGGCAGCAGCGGCGAUGCAGGUGGACGGCAACGCGCUGGGCCCUACGGUGGCUGCCGACGGCGCACUGGGCUUGUUCCUGCCGCGGGCGUCUGGAGGAGGAAGAAGCAAAGGGGUAAUUAGCAGGAGAUUUAAAAUCCUAAGGAUUUUUUUUUUGCAAAAAUCACAGCGAACUACGCCGUGGACAACUUUUCCCGGACGGAGGGAGUAUAAUAGUGGCACUAGUUGAAGUCAGCCUGCAGCUCCACUCGACGAUUCAAUUUAUGCGACCUUUUCUGUAGUUUACUUGAAAUGAAGCAAAGAUUGCAUCAUUCAGCUAGCAAGAAGUACUUGCUCUUGUGAGAUGGCAGGUUUUUUUUUAGUAGUUGCAUAAAAAUUAAGCAACAUUAAGGUUGUCUGUCCUACUCAUGUAAGGUGCAACUAUAAUUUGCUUAUCCUCUUGUACAGUUC
Molecule: non-coding RNA, 2508 nt
Organism: Aegilops tauschii subsp. strangulata
Lineage: Eukaryota; Viridiplantae; Streptophyta; Magnoliopsida; Poales; Poaceae
Source: RefSeq, a predicted model, not a curated record